Long non-coding RNA from Bufo bufo (common toad), 143 nucleotides. RefSeq lists it as uncharacterized. The transcript has 3 exons. Lineage: Eukaryota; Metazoa; Chordata; Amphibia; Anura; Bufonidae. The record is from RefSeq and is a predicted model, not a curated record.
UUGAGCAGUCUCAGUUCGGACUUAAAGGGGUUGUCCGGGAUUGGGGACAUGGGUGUACAUGUACAAUGGUCCCCUAAAUAUUACAUUCAUGCCUGUCCUUCCCUUACCAGACAUUUCUGAUGGCCCUUUUUCACUUCACAAGU